RNAcentral lists this ribosomal RNA (450 nucleotides) under uncultured bacterium. RNAcentral describes it as "bacterial SSU rRNA". It matches the Rfam family "Bacterial small subunit ribosomal RNA", at positions 354 to 796 of the family's 1533-position model. The record is from RNAcentral.
GUGGGGAAUAUUGGACAAUGGGCGAAAGCCUGAUCCAGCCAUGCCGCGUGUGUGAAGAAGGUCUUCGGAUUGUAAAGCACUUUAAGUUGGGAGGAAGGGCAGUAAGUUAAUACCUUGCUGUUUUGACGUUACCGACAGAAUAAGCACCGGCUAACUUCGUGCCAGCAGCCGCGGUAAUACGAAGGGUGCAAGCGUUAAUCGGAAUUACUGGGCGUAAAGCGCGCGUAGGUGGUUUUGUAAGUUUGAGGUGAAAUCCCCGGGCUCAACCUGGGAACUUCCUCCAAAACUGCAUGACUAGAGUACGGUAGAGGGUAGUGGAAUUUCCUGUGUAGCGGUGAAAUGCGUAGAUAUAGGAAGGAACACCAGUGGCGAAGGCGACUACCUGGACUGAUACUGACACUGAGGUGCGAAAGCGUGGGGAGCAAACAGGAUUAGAAACCCUAGUAGUCC